Molecule: ribosomal RNA, 261 nt
Filed under: uncultured bacterium
Lineage: Bacteria
Description: partial 16S ribosomal RNA
Rfam family: Bacterial small subunit ribosomal RNA
Source: RNAcentral
AGCCGCGGUAAAACGUAGGACACGAGCGUUAUCCGGAGUUACUGGGCGUAAAGGGCGGGUAGGCGGCGAUGUAAGACUGGUGUGAAAGCCUUCGGCUUAACCGAGGGAGGACACUGGUGACUGCAUGGCUCGAGGCAGAUAGAGGGGUGUAGAAUUCCGGGUGUAGUGGUGAAAUGCGUAGAGAUCCGGAGGAAUACCAGAGGCGAAGGCGGCACCCUGGGUCUGACCUGACGCUGAUCCGCGACAGCAUGGGGAGCGAAC